UACAGAGGAUGCGAGCGUUAUCCGGAUUUAUUGGGUUUAAAGGGUGCGUAGGCGGACGCUUAAGUCAGCGGUAAAAUUGCGGGGCUCAACCUCGUCGAGCCGUUGAAACUGGUUUUCUUGAGUGGGCGAGAGGUAUGCGGAAUGCGUGGUGUAGCGGUGAAAUGCAUAGAUAUCACGCAGAACCCCGAUUGCGAAGGCAGCAUACCGGCGCCCAACUGACGCUGAGGCACGAAAGCGUGGGUAUCGAACAGG
Molecule: ribosomal RNA, 252 nt
Filed under: uncultured Bacteroidales bacterium
Lineage: Bacteria; Pseudomonadati; Bacteroidota; Bacteroidia; Bacteroidales
Description: partial 16S ribosomal RNA
Rfam family: Bacterial small subunit ribosomal RNA
Source: RNAcentral